UACGUAGGGUGCGAGCGUUGUCCGGAAUUACUGGGCGUAAAGAGCUCGUAGGUGGUUUGUCGCGUUGUUCGUGAAAACUCACAACUCAAUUGUGGGCGUGCGGGCGAUACGGGCAGACUGGAGUACUGCAGGGGAGACUGGAAUUCCUGGUGUAGCGGUGGAAUGCGCAGAUAUCAGGAGGAACACCGGUGGCGAAGGCGGGUCUCUGGGCAGUAACUGGCGCUGAGGAGCGAAAGCGUGGGGAGCGAACAGG
Molecule: ribosomal RNA, 253 nt
Filed under: uncultured bacterium
Lineage: Bacteria
Description: partial 16S ribosomal RNA
Rfam family: Bacterial small subunit ribosomal RNA
Source: RNAcentral